This 508-nucleotide ribosomal RNA is filed under the name uncultured glomeraceous AM fungus. Its description in RNAcentral is "SSU rRNA". It matches the Rfam family "Eukaryotic small subunit ribosomal RNA", at positions 569 to 1078 of the family's 1831-position model. Lineage: Eukaryota; Fungi; Glomeromycota; Glomeromycetes; Glomerales; Glomeraceae. The record is from RNAcentral.
AGCAGCCGCGGUAAUUCCAGCUCCAAUAGCGUAUAUUAAAGUUGUUGCAGUUAAAAAGCUCGUAGUUGAAUUUCGGGGUUAGUAGGUUGGUCAUGCCUCUGGUAUGUACUGGUCUCACUGAUUCCUCCUUCCUGGUGAAUCUUAAUGCCAUUAAUUUGGUGUUUUGGGGAAUUUGGACUGUUACUUUGAAAAAAUUAGAGUGUUUAAAGCAAGCUAACGCUUGAAUACAUUAGCAUGGAAUAAUGAAAUAGGACGUUCGAUCCUAUUUUGUUGGUUUCUAGGAUUGACGUAAUGAUUAAUAGGGAUAGUUGGGGGCAUUAGUAUUCAAUUGUCAGAGGUGAAAUUCUUGGAUUUAUUGAAGACUAACUACUGCGAAAGCAUUUGCCAAGGAUGUUUUCAUUAAUCAAGAACGAAAGUUAGGGGAUCGAAGACGAUCAGAUACCGUCGUAGUCUUAACCAUAAACUAUGCCGACUAGGGAUCGGAUGAUGUUAAUUUUUUAAUGACUCA